GCAGCAGUAGUUCAGUUGGUAGAACGUCUGCUUCCCAAGCAGAAGGCCGCCAGUUCGAGUCUGGUCUGCUGCU
This 73-nucleotide transfer RNA is filed under the name Candidatus Berkelbacteria bacterium. Its description in RNAcentral is "tRNA-Gly". It matches the Rfam family "tRNA". From Rfam's summary of the family: Transfer RNA (tRNA) molecules are approximately 80 nucleotides in length. Their secondary structure includes four short double-helical elements and three loops (D, anti-codon, and T loops). The record is from RNAcentral. Lineage: Bacteria; Candidatus Berkelbacteria.